UACAGAGGGUGCAAGCGUUAAUCGGAAUUACUGGGCGUAAAGGGUGCGUAGGUGGUUUGAUAAGUUAGGUGUGAAAUUCCUGGGCUUAACCUGGGGACUGCGCCUAAUACUGUUAAGCUAGAGUGUUGUAGAGGAAGGUGGAAUUUCCAGUGUAGCGGUGAAAUGCGUAGAUAUUGGAAGGAACAUCGGUGGCGAAGGCGACCUUCUGGACAACGACUGACACUGAGGCACGAAAGCGUGGGUAGCAAACAGG
This 253-nucleotide ribosomal RNA is filed under the name uncultured bacterium. Its description in RNAcentral is "partial 16S ribosomal RNA". It matches the Rfam family "Bacterial small subunit ribosomal RNA", at positions 524 to 776 of the family's 1533-position model. The record is from RNAcentral.